UCCGGCAUGGUGUAGUGGCUAGCAUUUCCGCCUCUCAUUCAAAGUUUCAACGCUUGAAUCAAGCCGCGGGAGACCGGGGUUCAAUUCCCCGUACCGGAA
Non-coding RNA from Sclerotinia nivalis, 99 nucleotides. The record is from the annotation of a GenBank genome assembly. NCBI's taxonomy places the organism in Eukaryota, Fungi, Ascomycota, Leotiomycetes, Helotiales, Sclerotiniaceae.